RNAcentral lists this ribosomal RNA (497 nucleotides) under uncultured bacterium. RNAcentral describes it as "partial 16S ribosomal RNA". It matches the Rfam family "Bacterial small subunit ribosomal RNA", at positions 28 to 507 of the family's 1533-position model. The record is from RNAcentral.
GAUGAACGCUGGCGGCGUGCCUAAUGCAUGCAAGUCGAGCGAACAGACGAGGAGCUUGCUCCUCUGACGUUAGCGGCGGACGGGUGAGUAACACGUGGAUAACCUACCUAUAAGACUGGGAUAACUUCGGGAAACCGGAGCUAAUACCGGAUAAUAUAUUGAACCGCAUGGUUCAAUAGUGAAAGACGGUUUUGCUGUCACUUAUAGAUGGAUCCGCGCCGCAUUAGCUAGUUGGUAAGGUAACGGCUUACCAAGGCAACGAUGCGUAGCCGACCUGAGAGGGUGAUCGGCCACACUGGAACUGAGACACGGUCCAGACUCCUACGGGAGGCAGCAGUAGGGAAUCUUACGCAAUGGGCGAAAGCCUGACGGAGCAACGCCGCGUGAGUGAUGAAGGUCUUCGGAUCGUAAAACUCUGUUAUUAGGGAAGAACAAAUGUGUAAGUAACUAUGCACGUCUUGACGGUACCUAAUCAGAAAGCCACGGCUAACUACGUG